This 74-nucleotide transfer RNA is filed under the name Dyadobacter sp. LHD-138. Its description in RNAcentral is "tRNA-Arg". It matches the Rfam family "tRNA". From Rfam's summary of the family: Transfer RNA (tRNA) molecules are approximately 80 nucleotides in length. Their secondary structure includes four short double-helical elements and three loops (D, anti-codon, and T loops). The record is from RNAcentral. Lineage: Bacteria; Pseudomonadati; Bacteroidota; Cytophagia; Cytophagales; Spirosomataceae.
GUUUCUUGAGCUCAAUGGUCAGAGCAAGUGAAUUCUAAUCGAUUGAUGUGGGUUCAACUCCUGCAAGGACACCA